AUGAACGCUAGCUACAGGCUUAACACAUGCAAGUCGCGGGGUAACAUCUGGGAGAGCUUGCUCUUCCAGGAUGACGACCGGCGCACGGGUGAGUAACGCGUAUCCAACCUGGCCCAUACCAUGGGAUAGCCCGUCGAAAGGCGGAUUAAUACCGUAUGCUGUCAUUAAGAUGCAUAUAUUGAUGGCGAAAGGACUGGCGGUAUGGGAUGGGGAUGCGUCUGAUUAGCUUGUUGGCGGGGUAACGGCCCACCAAGGCGACGAUCAGUAGGGGUUCUGAGAGGAAGGUCCCCCACAUUGGAACUGAGACACGGUCCAAACUCCUACGGGAGGCAGCAGUGAGGAAUAUUGGUCAAUGGGCGAGAGCCUGAACCAGCCAAGUAGCGUGCAGGAUGACGGCCCUAUGGGUUGUAAACUGCUUUUAUAAGGGAAUAAAGUGAGUCUCGUGAGACUUUUUGCAUGUACCUUAUGAAUAAGGACCGGCUAAUUCCGUG
RNAcentral lists this ribosomal RNA (491 nucleotides) under uncultured bacterium. RNAcentral describes it as "bacterial SSU rRNA". It matches the Rfam family "Bacterial small subunit ribosomal RNA", at positions 29 to 507 of the family's 1533-position model. The record is from RNAcentral.